UACGGAGGGGGCUAGCGUUGUUCGGAAUUACUGGGCGUAAAGCGCGCGUAGGCGGACCUGCAAGUCGGGGGUGAAAGCCCGAGGCUCAACCUCGGAACUGCCUUCGAUACUGCGGGUCUCGAGUCCGGGAGAGGUGAGUGGAAUUCCUAGUGUAGAGGUGAAAUUCGUAGAUAUUAGGAAGAACACCAGUGGCGAAGGCGACUUACUGGACAGAUAUUGACGCUGAGGUGCGAAAGCGUGGGGAGCAAACAGG
RNAcentral lists this ribosomal RNA (253 nucleotides) under uncultured bacterium. RNAcentral describes it as "partial 16S ribosomal RNA". It matches the Rfam family "Bacterial small subunit ribosomal RNA", at positions 524 to 776 of the family's 1533-position model. The record is from RNAcentral.